UAAAGCGUGCGCAGGCGGUUAUGUAAGACAGAUGUGAAAUCCCCGGGCUCAACCUGGGAACUGCAUUAGUGACUGCAUAGCUGGAGUACGGCAGAGGGGGAUGGAAUUCCGCGUGUAGCAGUGAAAUGCGUAGAUAUGCGGAGGAACACCGAUGGCGAAGGCAAUCCCCUGGGCCUGUACUGACGCUCAUGCACGAAAGCGUGGGGAGCAAACAGGAUUAGAACCCCAGU
Molecule: ribosomal RNA, 230 nt
Filed under: uncultured bacterium
Lineage: Bacteria
Description: partial 16S ribosomal RNA
Rfam family: Bacterial small subunit ribosomal RNA
Source: RNAcentral